CUACGGGAGGCUGCAGUGGGGAAUAUUGGACAAUGGGGGAAACCCUGAUCCAGCAAUGCCGUGUGUGUGAAGAAGGCCUGCGGGUUGUAAAGCACUUUCGGUUGGGAGGACUGCUUCUAGCACUAAUAUUGUUGGAAGUUGACGUUACCUUCAGAAGAAGCACCGGCUAACUCCGUGCCAGCAGCCGCGGUAAUAGCGGAGGGUGCAAGCGUUAAUCGGAAUUACUGGGCGUAAAGCGCGCGUAGGCGGCUAGAUCAGUCGGGUGUGAAAGCCCCGGGCUUAACCUGGGAACUGCAUCCGAUACUGUCUAGCUUGAGUACAGGAGAGGAGAGUGGAAUUCCACAUGUAGCGGUGAAAUGCGUAGAUAUGUGGAGGAACACCAAUGGCGAAGGCAGCUCUCUGGCCUGAUACUGACGCUGAGGUGCGAAAGCGUGGGGAGCAAACAGGAUUAGAUACCCGUGUAGUC
RNAcentral lists this ribosomal RNA (466 nucleotides) under uncultured bacterium. RNAcentral describes it as "partial 16S ribosomal RNA". It matches the Rfam family "Bacterial small subunit ribosomal RNA", at positions 339 to 795 of the family's 1533-position model. The record is from RNAcentral.